UCAAGAGAUAGAGGUGGGCCUGACAAGAGUAGAUAAGAUAAGGUAUGAGAGAUAUCGUUGAUUCUUAUUGAAAGGGGAAGGCCCCGAAGGGUGGAUUUUCUCGAAUCUAUGCCUGGUUUCCGGAUUAAGAGUCCUGCGACUGUCACCAAUAUUGGUGGAGAGCUAUCGUUUUG
RNAcentral lists this non-coding RNA (173 nucleotides) under Clostridiales bacterium. Its description in RNAcentral is "Lysine sequence". It matches the Rfam family "Lysine riboswitch aptamer". From Rfam's summary of the family: Riboswitches are metabolite binding domains within certain messenger RNAs that serve as precision sensors for their corresponding targets. Lineage: Bacteria; Bacillati; Bacillota; Clostridia; Eubacteriales. The record is from RNAcentral.